Molecule: non-coding RNA, 713 nt
Organism: Malus domestica (apple)
Lineage: Eukaryota; Viridiplantae; Streptophyta; Magnoliopsida; Rosales; Rosaceae
Source: RefSeq, a predicted model, not a curated record
CUGAAGCUUCCAAUGGAUUCCUCAUUGAUGACACCUGUGUGUUCGGAGAGGAGGUCUUUGUUUGUACAGAGCGAAGCACAGGCAAAGGACAAUGUCUAUCAAUGUGGUAAAGGAUCCUGUUAUGUACAAGAAUACUUGGAGGAUUGACAACUUCUCAGAGCUAGACGCCGAAUCCUACGACUCAAAAGUAUUUACUGCGGAAGACCUGAAAUGGAAGAUACAGCUCUAUCCCAAGUUAAAAAGGCAAUGGAGUUGGUGCCCAUCUGGCUCUUUGGGCGUUAGCCGAACCAAAAUCUCUUCCUCCUGACUGUAAAAUAUAUGCAGAGUUUAGCCUAUGCCUCCUAGACCAGGUGCAUGCCAGACAUCAGUUUGGUAAAGGUAAAGAUUUGCUUAAUCCAAUUGCUACAUAAUCAUAUGAGGAAAUAAGGAUAUGAAAAUGUUAUAAACUUCAAAAUUAAGGAUGUUUUAUUGCCGGCCUCUUAUGAAAUUCACCCCAUGAACGACGACGACGCUCGAGUUCUUUGUGGCGUUUGAAUCUUGAUGGCAUACGAUACAACGUGGUGAUGCUUACUAUUGAACUUGAGUUCUGUGGAAGGUUGUUUGAUAAUUUAUGCUUGUAACCUACUGAAAGUGUUCACAAUUUGUGGUUGGUUCUUGCGAAAUGUUGACUCUUGUUGGGCUUUUAGUAGAAAGCAACUGAAUGUUUUGAGUAA